Molecule: ribosomal RNA, 618 nt
Filed under: uncultured bacterium
Lineage: Bacteria
Description: bacterial SSU rRNA
Rfam family: Bacterial small subunit ribosomal RNA
Source: RNAcentral
CUUGCUUCUCUUGAGAGCGGCGGACGGGUGAGUAAUGCCUAGGAAUCUGCCUGGUAGUGGGGGAUAACGUCCGGAAACGGACGCUAAUACCGCAUACGUCCUACGGGAGAAAGCAGGGGACCUUCGGGCCUUGCGCUAUCAGAUGAGCCUAGGUCGGAUUAGCUAGUUGGUGGGGUAAUGGCUCACCAAGGCGACGAUCCGUAACUGGUCUGAGAGGAUGAUCAGUCACACUGGAACUGAGACACGGUCCAGACUCCUACGGGAGGCAGCAGUGGGGAAUAUUGGACAAUGGGCGAAAGCCUGAUCCAGCCAUGCCGCGUGUGUGAAGAAGGUCUUCGGAUUGUAAAGCACUUUAAGUUGGGAGGAAGGGCAGUAAAUUAAUACUUUGCUGUUUUGACGUUACCGACAGAAUAAGCACCGGCUAACUCUGUGCCAGCAGCCGCGGUAAUACAGAGGGUGCAAGCGUUAAUCGGAAUUACUGGGCGUAAAGCGCGCGUAGGUGGUUCGUUAAGUUGGAUGUGAAAUCCCCGGGCUCAACCUGGGAACUGCAUUCAAAACUGACGAGCUAGAGUAUGGUAGAGGGUGGUGGAAAUUUCCUGUGUAGCGGUGAAAUGCGUA